This 253-nucleotide ribosomal RNA is filed under the name uncultured bacterium. RNAcentral's name for it is "partial 16S ribosomal RNA". It matches the Rfam family "Bacterial small subunit ribosomal RNA", at positions 524 to 776 of the family's 1533-position model. The record is from RNAcentral.
UACAGAGGGGGCAAGCGUUGUUCGGAAUUACUGGGCGUAAAGGGUUCGUAGGUGGCCACUUAAGUCAGACGUGAAAUCCCUCAGCUUAACUGGGGAACUGCGUCUGAUACUGGGUGGCUUGAGUGCAGGAGAGGAAUGCGGAAUUCCAGGUGUAGCGGUGAAAUGCGUAGAUAUCUGGAGGAACACCGGUGGCGAAGGCGGCAUUCUGGACUGUAACUGACACUGAGGAACGAAAGCCAGGGGAGCAAACGGG